RNAcentral lists this long non-coding RNA (2604 nucleotides) under Nicotiana benthamiana. RNAcentral describes it as "long non-coding RNA (NBEN_LNC026978)". The record is from RNAcentral. Lineage: Eukaryota; Viridiplantae; Streptophyta; Magnoliopsida; Solanales; Solanaceae.
AGUGUCACCCUCCACUUUUAUUUACUAAAGCCCUAUAAUUUAUUACAUAUUAUUACAUGACAAAUGAAUAAGAUAAAACAUAAAAUUACAUCAGAAUUUUAAGCUGCAUCCAAUGAGCCUAAUUCAGACUCAAUAUCUAACAAUAUGAAAUGAACCAACUUUCGGGAUCAGGUUCCAAGUUCUUUCUCUUAUCUGGAGUGUGUCAAAGUUCCAAGAAGUUUGAAGAACUCCAGGUAAUGCUUACACCCAGAUAUCAUUACAGAACAGAAUUAAAGUACAGUGUGGAAGGGCCAGCCCUCCAAUGCCCAAGUUCAGAGGAAACUCAAGGUCCCAAGGCAAGGCUCAUUGGAGGGGGGCAGAACUUAGGGUCUAGGAACAAGUGUAAGUGCAGUAGAGGGGAAAUGUCAAGAUGGUGGUCAUGCCAAGCAUUUUUGGGGUGCUAGCACACCCCUGACCAGCGUGUCAUUUUCUAAUUGAGGAGUUAGGACCUGUUGCAAGUCGGGUUCAGACCUGGACAACCAUUUGAAGGCUUCCAGACCUUAAACUUUAACUCAACAUACAUAGGGGAAUAGGGAUAUGGAAUUCAUAAUAAUAGCAGAAUACAAAAUAAAGAGUACGAAAAAGGCAUGUUCAGCAAUGAAGCAUACUGGUACACCCCUCAACUUACUUGGGGUCAAAAUUCAAUUCAUGGCCAACAAUUCAUAUUUCCAGGACCUGAAUCCCCACUCAUAGACAUGUAGAGGGUAAUGUGAUAGGGGAGCAAAUGUUUACAAGAAAAUAAAGCAAGCAGUAGCACAUAAGCAUUACAAGGUCAUGUUCUGCAAGAAAUAGACAUGGAUAUAAAGAUUACAUGUAAACACAUUGGGAUGAUGCUGGUAAUUGAAUAAAGACAUAACAGUUUUUAAAAGAGACAAAGAAAGCAGUAGUCUUGUGAAAGACAAAGUGCAGACAAGAAAGUUCAGAAGAGUUUGUGAGAAUUGUAAGUUUGAAGUCUGAAGUGUAUUCAGUUGUGUAUUGAAAGUGUGUUUGUUAAAAAGAGUUCGUGCUUUUUAUAGUCUAGAAGGCAAGCAAAAAUAAGGCAAGAGAAUAGUUUGAAAAUCAAUUGUUGAUCAUUACACAAGGUUUCCUUUAAUUAAGGGAUUCUGAUUGCAAACGGUAAAACUAAUUACGGAAAUCAAACAUUUUGUGUAAGGUAGUAUAAUAGGGGUAAAUACAUAAAGGUCUAUAUAAGGACAAAGUCUUGACAAUACACGGUUUGUGCAAAUAAGGUAAAGGAAUCAGUUAACAACCGGAAAUUCAGAAGUCAAAGAUUUUAUAUGAAUGAACCCAGUCAGAAAAGGUGAAGAAAAGGUUUUACUUGAGGAAAGUCAGUAACAAUCAAUUAAAAUUAAAAAAGAGAUUCUAAUUUAAUCGCAAGUUUGAAAAAAAUUUAAAGAAGGGUUGAACACACAUAUAAAGUAUACAUGCAUGCUUAAACACGAAGGAAUUCAUCAUGCUAUUCAACAAAAGAUUCUAGUGUAGGAGAAUCAGAAUUGUGUGCAAACACAGAAGUUCGAACCUAGUUCAGAGACUAGGGACUUAGUCUGAAAGAGUCAAGUGUUCUAUAAACCCUAGUUUAAUCACAGGAUUAAACCUUGGCCCAAAAUUCAAGGGUUUCCGCCUCUAUAAAAUACAGAGACGAAGAGGCAAGUAGUUGAAACAGGCUCAGAGAUAUCAUUCAGAGACUCAUGAGAAAACAAACAAGUACAGUAGAAGGUUCAAAGCAAACAGAGUGAAGAAACUGAUUCGAAGCAUAGUGAGAGAAGAAGAAAUAGUAGAAGAAAAUAUGCUUUCACCAGGUCUUUUAGAAAAACUUAAAAUAGGUAAAGAAGAGGAGAAAAUAGCGAACACUUAAGCACACGGUAGAAGGAUACAACAGGAAAAGCAUAUCAGAAAAAUAGCAGGACAUAGUGGGAAAGCAUGUGAGAACAUAGCAUAGAAAACACAGUAGAAAAAAAGAGCGGAACAUAGUAGAAGAAUAUUCGUGAAAACAUAAGAACACAGUAGAAGAACAUGCGUGGUAGGAAAGAAAGCAUAAGAAUAUAGUACAGACAAAUACACACAAUGGAAAGGAGAAGAAAAGUCAGAGAAACAUUUGGAAAAUUUCCAGAAAACCCUAAAUUAACUUUUGAAAGUAAUUUUGAAAGAAAAGUUUGGAAAAUCAUUCAAAAACUCAAAUAGAGCAUGGAUACACAACAGAUCUAAGAAAAUUGAAAAAAGAACCUGGAAUAGUUAGGAUUUCAGAAGAACCCUAAAGUGAGAAGGGCUUGGAAAAGGUCCGAUCAAAGUCGGAUGAGGUUAGAAACAGGCUCAGAAGACCAAGAGCCAGCAGAUCAAGGCCGAAGAUGGACGGAAUCAUCGAAUCGAUUAAGGUCUGAGUGAAGACCUUCGAAGUUUAUCUUCGAUCCUUCAAGCAUCAAGCAUGUAGGAGCAGUAGGAGAUGAGUAUAGGCUAUCCAUGGCCUGAGAAGCCAUGGAUUCCGGUGAGUUUAAGGGUGGAGAUGGUAGAAGGAGGCUAGUGUUUCAGAGGGAAUUGAGAGAGAACUGAGGGAGAAGGGAUUCCGAG